CCUACGGGAGGCAGCAGUGAGGAAUAUUGGUCAAUGGGCGAGAGCCUGAACCAGCCAAGUCGCGUGAGGGAAGACGGUCCUAUGGAUUGUAAACCUCUUUUGUCGGGGAGCAAAAAGGCCUCGUGAGGCCACAAGUGAGAGUACCCGAAGAAAAAGCAUCGGCUAACUCCGUGCCAGCAGCCGCGGUAAUACGGAGGGUGCGAGCGUUAAUCGGAAUUACUGGGCGUAAAGGGUGCGCAGGCGGUUGAGUAAGACAGAUGUGAAAUCCCCGAGCUUAACUCGGGAAUGGCAUAUGUGACUGCUCGACUAGAGUGUGUCAGAGGGAGGUGGAAUUCCACGUGUAGCAGUGAAAUGCGUAGAUAUGUGGAAGAACACCGAUGGCGAAGGCAGCCUCCUGGGACAUAACUGACGCUCAGGCACGAAAGCGUGGGGAGCAAACAGGAUUAGAUACCCCAGUAGUC
RNAcentral lists this ribosomal RNA (461 nucleotides) under uncultured bacterium. RNAcentral's name for it is "partial 16S ribosomal RNA". It matches the Rfam family "Bacterial small subunit ribosomal RNA", at positions 338 to 795 of the family's 1533-position model. The record is from RNAcentral.